Non-coding RNA from Nylanderia fulva, 226 nucleotides. The record is from RefSeq and is a predicted model, not a curated record. Lineage: Eukaryota; Metazoa; Arthropoda; Insecta; Hymenoptera; Formicidae.
UAAAGAAGUUGUUUUGAUGUACAGGAACCAUUUAGUGCCAUCGUUGAAAGAGAUAACAUUCGUUACUCGACCAGCGGAAAAAAUAGGCGUCGUUGGUCGCACCGGUGCUGGAAAAAGUUUGUUACUAUCUUCGUUGUUUAGACUGACAGAGAUCAGUUCUGGGAGUAUAUUAAUCGACAACGUGAAUAUUCAAACGUUACAACUGAACACAUUAAGAUCCCAUUUA